This 360-nucleotide ribosomal RNA is filed under the name uncultured eukaryote. RNAcentral's name for it is "partial 18S ribosomal RNA". It matches the Rfam family "Eukaryotic small subunit ribosomal RNA", at positions 592 to 976 of the family's 1831-position model. The record is from RNAcentral.
CAAUAGCAUAUAUUAACGUUGUUGCAGUUGAAAAGCUCGUAGUUGAACUUUUGGUAGGAGCGACCUGGCCUUGGGCGCAUACCCUUGUUUGCCGUGUGUCGUAUCUGGCCAUCCUUUUCCGUUUCGGCGGGAAUCUUUUACUGUGAGUAAACUGGAGUGCUCAAAACAAGACGUUUGUUUGGUACAUUAAAGCAUGGAAUAAUAAGAUAGGACCUGGUUACUAUUUUGUUGGUUUGCAUAGCUAGGUAAUGAUUAACAGGGACAGUUGGGGGUAUUCGUAUUUAAUUGUCAGAGGUGAAAUUCUUGGAUUUAUGAAAGACGAACGACUGCGAAAGCAUUUACCAAGGAUGUUUUCAUUAA